This 1042-nucleotide ribosomal RNA is filed under the name Dokdonia diaphora. RNAcentral describes it as "bacterial SSU rRNA". It matches the Rfam family "Bacterial small subunit ribosomal RNA", at positions 41 to 1079 of the family's 1533-position model. The record is from RNAcentral. Lineage: Bacteria; Pseudomonadati; Bacteroidota; Flavobacteriia; Flavobacteriales; Flavobacteriaceae.
GUCAUGCGCUGCUUACACAUGCAAGUCGAGGGGUAACAGAGGUAGCUUGCUACUUGCUGACGACCGGCGCACGGGUGCGUAACGCGUAUAGAAUCUACCUUAUACUGGGGGAUAGCCUUUGGAAACGAAGAUUAAUACCCCAUAGUAUGUUUGAAUGGCAUCAUUUAGGCAUUAAAGUUUCGGCGGUAUAAGAUGACUAUGCGUUCUAUUAGUUUGUUGGUAAGGUAACGGCUUACCAAGACUACGAUAGAUAGGGGUCCUGAGAGGGAGAUCCCCCACACUGGUACUGAGACACGGACCAGACUCCUACGGGAGGCAGCAGUGAGGAAUAUUGGACAAUGGAGGCAACUCUGAUCCAGCCAUGCCGCGUGUAGGAAGACUGCCCUAUGGGUUGUAAACUACUUUUAUAUGGGAAGAAUAAGGUCUACGUGUAGACUGAUGACGGUACCAUAAGAAUAAGCACCGGCUAACUCCGUGCCAGCAGCCGCGGUAAUACGGAGGGUGCAAGCGUUAUCCGGAAUCAUUGGGUUUAAAGGGUCCGUAGGCGGGCAUAUAAGUCAGUGGUGAAAGUCUGUGGCUCAACCAUAGAAUUGCCAUUGAUACUGUAUGUCUUGAAUUAUUGUGAAGUGGUUAGAAUAUGUAGUGUAGCGGUGAAAUGCUUAGAGAUUACAUAGAAUACCGAUUGCGAAGGCAGAUCACUAACAAUAUAUUGACGCUGAUGGACGAAAGCGUAGGUAGCGAACAGGAUUAGAUACCCUGGUAGUCUACGCCGUAAACGAUGGAUACUAGUUGUUUGGUUUUCGGACUGAGUGACUAAGCGAAAGUGAUAAGUAUCCCACCUGGGGGAGUACGUUCGCAAGAAUGAAACUCAAAGGAAUUGACGGGGGCCCGCACAAGCGGUGGAGCAUGUGGUUUAAUUCGAUGAUACGCGAGGAACCUUACCAGGCUUAAAUGUAGAUUGACAGGACUAGAGAUAGUUUUUUCUUCGGACAAUUUACAAGUGCUGCAUGGUUGUCGUCAGCUCGUGCCGUGAGGUGUCAGG